This 702-nucleotide unclassified non-coding RNA is filed under the name Hevea brasiliensis (rubber tree). Lineage: Eukaryota; Viridiplantae; Streptophyta; Magnoliopsida; Malpighiales; Euphorbiaceae. The record is from RNAcentral.
GAAAACUCCAGAGAAAAUCUCACCGCAAAAAAUGGCGUCCGCCGCAGCAAACAAACCUCUCAUAUGGGAUUGCGGCAGCUCACUCUACGACUCAUUUGAGUUGAAAUCAUUCGAACGUCAACUCGAUUCAGCCAUAUCUUCUCGAAGCCUCUCAAUGCCUCAUUUACCCGAUCGUCGUCUUCUUAUUCCACCGUCAACAACAGAUCCACAGCAAACUACUCAACCGAUUUCCAAAAAAACUUCUAGGAUCUCUAGAUCUUUCCAGAAACUUCUCAAAUCCGUUUUCAGAGCAAAACAGAGCAACAGUCCGCUGUUUCAGGGGCAAAAUCGAGAUGGAUUUUACGUCGUUUAUGAUAAAUCUGGUGCACUUACGACGAUUCCGGAAGGACCGGAGUACGACGGACUUUCGCCGGAGAUUAAGUCGUUGGUUAGAAGAACGGGUUCCGAACGGUUCACGGCGACUUCUAUUGGUAUUUCAUGUGCUUGAUAGAUAAUAUUGAUCUUAAUCUAAGUAAUUAGAAUAUUUAUGACUAAUAUGUAUAGCAAUAAUUUCUUUCAUCUUUUGGAAUAUUGUUGUUGCUAGUUUUUUGAACUCAAAAAUUUGAAGUUUUCAUGGCCUACAACGUAGAAUAAGUGACAUUAUUCCAUAACUUUUGGUUCGAGUUAUUGUUCUCAAAAACUAUAAAUAUCUUAAUUGUGAUU